This is a small nuclear RNA of Dermacentor albipictus, 125 nucleotides long. RefSeq annotates it as U4atac minor spliceosomal RNA. Lineage: Eukaryota; Metazoa; Arthropoda; Arachnida; Ixodida; Ixodidae. The record is from RefSeq and is a predicted model, not a curated record.
ACCGUCUUUAUCACGGGGAGCAUGGUUGUGCCAAGGAUCGUUUCAGUGAGGCCGGCCUUGCUGACACCGUGUAACAACACACACGCGCCGCGUAAUAACAUUGCGUAGGUGCAAUUUUUGGACCC